UACGUAGGGGGCAAGCGUUGUCCGGAUUCAUUGGGCGUAAAGAGCUCGUAGGCGGUCUGUCGCGUCGGCUGUGAAAUCCCGAGGCUCAACCUCGGGCCUGCAGUCGAUACGGGCAAACUGGAGUGUUGCAGGGGAGACUGGAAUUCCUGGUGUAGCGGUGAAAUGCGCAGAUAUCAGGAGGAACACCGGUGGCGAAGGCGGGUCUCUGGGCAACAACUGACGCUGAGGAGCGAAAGCGUGGGGAGCGAACAGG
RNAcentral lists this ribosomal RNA (253 nucleotides) under uncultured bacterium. RNAcentral's name for it is "partial 16S ribosomal RNA". It matches the Rfam family "Bacterial small subunit ribosomal RNA", at positions 524 to 776 of the family's 1533-position model. The record is from RNAcentral.